AACCUUUUGACCUAUUUCAGGCCACCCAGCAAAUUAAUCCAUAGGAGGAUUUGAGGAGACACCAUUUGGGAUGGUGACUGCCCUCCUGUAUUGGCAACCACAAUAUUUAAGAUGCCUGGACCAAUCCAAAGGGGGUGAGUUCCUGGGACACUUCACCAUGAAGCCAUCUAACAGCCUGACAACACAGUUUAAAACACCUUGUUCAUGGGGACCAAAAAUAGCAUUAAAGCAGCCCCUUGAGGAGGAAAAGACUAACAUUCUCUGCUCUAAGUUAAUAGGAAAAUGUACGUAGAUGUGCUCAUCAUAUAUGUCGUAACUCUGGGGAGUUCGUCAGAAUUGGAGUCUCAGAAACAUGCCUGUUGCUAAGACAUUCAUUCCCUCCUCUCUUCUUUCCAGAGGAUUAAAGAUGACAGUACUAAUUAAAGAUGGGGAGAAAAGAGACCGCUGCCGGGUGGGAAGCACAGGGCCUGAAUUCCAAUGAGGCCCAAAUGAGGAGAAGCUGGGGAGGCCUCAUCAUUAGGAGUGUCCUUCUAAGUACUGCGAAGCUUCCUGCGGAGGAAUUCUGUUCUGAAAAGAGGGUGUUUAGCCAAAAUUGCCACCUCUAAGUUACUAGAUCCCAGAAGAAUCUGGAGGGAAGAAGGUUCUGGAAUCGGUGCUAGCAAAUCCAUGAAUUCAACCCUGCCACCUCCAUCCAGGGGCCUCACAUAGUAAAGAGGGAAGGAGCUUGGGUGAGGCUGAGAAGGCCCUCUGUAGUGUUCACACACUGUGACUUAGUGUUUGGAUCUGUCCGUAUUCUCACCAUCAUGCUGCCAUGGUUACCCAGAAUGCCUAGCUUUUGCAGAAGUGGUAGUGAGAACCAAAGAGAGGAUGUGUUUAGGAAGACAAAACAUUCAUUGCUGUUUGCCAUAUUCUUCCAUUGACAUUGAUGGAGGCAGGUCAUGGGAACAGAAGGAUGUUUUGUUGCUGAGGACAAACAGAAUUUCUUUGCUUACCCUGAAGUAGCGUUAAGGGGAAGAAGGCAGGAGAAAGCAGGGGAGAGGUGUGAAGCUCGGCGGAGCAGCGAAGUUAGAAAUGUCCAGCCUGGAGCGAACUAGGGGUGGAAGGGGGACUGUUAGGCCAUGGCCAGGGGGACAAUAGGAAGACUGGAGUCAGCGCUGCCAACCCCUUCAUCCUUGCCCACCCCAAGAUCUUCAUAGCUGCAAUGCCCACCAGUGCCUUCCAUCUAGUUCUUCUAGAACUCUUUCUGUAGACCAGGCUGGCUUCGAACUCACAGAGGUCUGCUGGCCUCUGCCUCCUGAGUGCUGGAAUUAGAGUUGUGCACCACUACCACCCGGCCAUCUCGCUCUUCUAAACCAGUGAAAAGUCCUUCCGUUGGAUAAGAGACCUUUCAGAGGCCACAGUGAGUGUCAACUGUCAAGUGGGUCUGCAGAUGAGAAACUGACACCUUAGUAAACACUGCCUCUGUAGGUUCUUAAAGUAUGUCCAAAGAAAUAAUGUCACUUGAGACUGUGCCACGGAAGAUGUGACCGCCAGCUCACUGUAGGUCCAGCUUGGGAUCUUGGGAGCAUCAGUGAAGCCAUGUGUUUAUGAGCCUUUGGGGAUGACAAAGAGCAGCAAAUGGGUCUCUUGUCACAGGAAGAAGAACCGGGCAUCCAAGAGAUCACAGAGAAGCUGACACCAGGGAGGCACAGGUACCCAAGAUGAAUGACUUGGUCCCCAUCGACACAGACACUUGUGCAGAGGGCCGAAGUUUGAGGCGAAUGAUACACUGGCUUUCGACUGCCACUCAAAACAGGGUAUCCAGCCUUGCUAAAUUAUGGUUCCACUCAUGCAUGAGAAGGUCUUGAGGGAAUUCCUCCUAAUGACAGAGGAGAGUGGUUCUCACUCAAAGAAGCCACCUAAGUCAAGGGACUAAGGUUGUUAGAAGGUCCUGGAGUGGAUCACGGAUUGGAUCUCCUAAGAACCCUCUCAGAACAGGAAGCUACUGAGGACCACCACCACCCGCUGAGCCCAGCCAUCCUGCACCUACAGCCAGCUCUGGGGUCGUUUCCAGCACCUGGGCUUUUUCUCUUCUCCAUAAACCUGGCCACUUGUCAAGUGAGAUCGUCAAGAGGUGGGUUGCCCGUAGGUCUUCUCAAUCGUGAGAAACUUCUAAAUAUGUACGUGCACGUGGUCACCAGGACAGAAGGCCAAAGAGAUCAGGACUCGGGCACUAACGUCAGGAAAGCAUCUUGAAGCUAAAAUUUUAAAGUUAAGUUGACUUUUAAUAAGAGAACAGGAAGCAUAGGAGGACACAUGCUUAGUGCUUCUCCAUGAGUGACCGGCAUGCAAAGGGAAGAGCAAACCCAGGGACCUGCUGCCUGGUUUCUUCCAGUUCUUUGGCCCACAGGCUCCUUUACAGAUAAUAAAUACCAUCUUA
Molecule: non-coding RNA, 2419 nt
Organism: Peromyscus maniculatus bairdii (prairie deer mouse)
Lineage: Eukaryota; Metazoa; Chordata; Mammalia; Rodentia; Cricetidae
Source: RefSeq, a predicted model, not a curated record